AUACGGAGGAUCCGAGCGUUAUCCGGAUUUAUUGGGUUUAAAGGGUGCGCAGGCGGCCAUUUAAGUCAGCGGUUAAAUCGUGGGGCUCAACCCCAUUCUGCCGUUGAUACUGGGUGGCUUGAUUGCGGUCGGGGUUGGCGGAAUUCGUUGUGUAGCGGGGAAAUGCAUAGAUAUGACGAAGAACACCGAUUGCGUAGGCAGCUGACCAGACCGCAAAUGACGCUCAUGCACGAAAGUGCGGGGAUCGAACAGGAUUAGAUACCCUGGUAGUCCGCACAGUAAACGAUGAAUACUUGUUUUCGGCGAUAUAAUGUCGGAGGCAAAGCGAAAGCGAUAAGUAUUCCACCUGGGGAGUACGCCGGCAACGGUGAAACUCAAAUGAAUUGACGGGG
RNAcentral lists this ribosomal RNA (392 nucleotides) under uncultured bacterium. RNAcentral's name for it is "partial 16S ribosomal RNA". It matches the Rfam family "Bacterial small subunit ribosomal RNA", at positions 523 to 918 of the family's 1533-position model. The record is from RNAcentral.